AACGUAGGAGGCGAGCGUUAUCCGGAUUUACUGGGUGUAAAGCGCGUGCAGGCGGUUUAGCAAGUCGUGCGUGAAAGCGCCCGGCUCAACCGGGCGAGGUCGUGCGAAACUGCUUAACUUGAGGUAGGUAGAGGCGUGUGGAAUUCCGGGUGUAGUGGUGAAAUGCGUAGAGAUCCGGAGGAACACCAGUGGCGAAGGCGACACGCUGGGCCUGACCUGACGCUCAGACGCGAAAGCAUGGGUAGCGAAC
RNAcentral lists this ribosomal RNA (250 nucleotides) under uncultured bacterium. Its description in RNAcentral is "partial 16S ribosomal RNA". It matches the Rfam family "Bacterial small subunit ribosomal RNA", at positions 524 to 773 of the family's 1533-position model. The record is from RNAcentral.